This is a long non-coding RNA of Balaenoptera acutorostrata (minke whale), 544 nucleotides long. RefSeq lists it as uncharacterized. The transcript has 4 exons. NCBI's taxonomy places the organism in Eukaryota, Metazoa, Chordata, Mammalia, Artiodactyla, Balaenopteridae. The record is from RefSeq and is a predicted model, not a curated record.
AGCAAGUGAGGGGAAGGGCCAGGAGCCCCGGUGGAACCCUCCUUAGCCUGUGGAGAUCCACUGCAGUUUGUGCCAGGGGUCCCCAACCGCCGGGCCACGGACCACUACCAGUCCAUGGCCUAUUAGGAACCGGGCCGCACGGCAGGAGAUGAGGAGCAAGCAACUGAGCGAAGCUUCAUCUGUAUUGACAGCCGCUCCCCAUCGCUCACAUUACCACCUGAGCUCCGGCUCCUGUCAGCAUUAUGGUUAAGAACAUCGCGCAGACUGAGUUAUUAAAGUUGAUCCAAAAGAGCAAUCUGUUCUAAAUGACGGUCCCUGGAUCUGCCACGGAACCCUGGGACAUGGGUUCGAGCCCUGGUCUGGGAAGAUCCCACAUGCCGCGGAGCAACUGGGCCCGUGAGACACAACUACUGAGCCUGAGCGUCUGGAGCCUGUGCUCCGCAACAAGAGAAGCCGCGAUAGUGAGAGGCCUGCGCACCGCGAUGAAGAGUGGCCCCCACUCGCCGCAACUGGAGAAAGCCCUCACACAGAAACGAAGACCCAA